Molecule: ribosomal RNA, 443 nt
Filed under: fungal sp.
Lineage: Eukaryota; Fungi
Description: SSU rRNA
Rfam family: Eukaryotic small subunit ribosomal RNA
Source: RNAcentral
UUNGAAUUUCGGGGUUAGUAGGUUGGUCAUGCCUCUGGUAUGUACUGGUCUCACUGAUUCCUCCUUCCUGAUGAACCUUAAUGCCAUUAAUUUGGUGUUUUUGGGAAUUUUGGACUGUUACUUUGAAAAAAUUAGAGUGUUUAAAGCAAGCUAACGCUUGAAUACAUUAGCAUGGAAUAAUGAAAUAGGACGUUCGAUCCUAUUUUGUUGGUUUCUAGGAUUGACGUAAUGAUUAAUAGGGAUAGUUGGGGGCAUUAGUAUUCAAUUGUCAGAGGUGAAAUUCUUGGAUUUAUUGAAGACUAACUACUGCGAAAGCAUUUGCCAAGGAUGUUUUCAUUAAUCAAGAACGAAAGUUAGGGGAUCGAAGACGAUCAGAUACCGUCGUAGUCUUAACCAUAAACUAUGCCGACUAGGGAUCGGAUGAUGUUAAUUUUUAAUGACUC